UCAAGAAACUUCCACAAUGGGCGAAAGCCUGAUGGAGCGACGUCGCGUGAUGGACGAAGUGCUUCGGCACGUAAACAUCUUUUAUGUGGGAUGAAAUUAUUGACAGUACCACAUGAAUAAGGGGCUCCUAACUCUGUGCCAGCAGGAGCGGUAAUACAGAGGCCCCAAGCGUUAUCCGGAAUCACUGGGCGUAAAGGGUGUCGAGGCGGUUGUAUUAGUCGUUCGUAAAAUCUACGAGCUUAACUUGUAGGCGGCGAACGAAACGGUACGACUUGAGGUUUGGAGAGGUGCGUGGAACUCACGGUGUAGGGGUGAAAUCCGUUGAUAUCGUGGGGAACACCAAAGGCGAAGGCAGCGCACUGGCCAAAAUCUGACGCUCACACACGAAAGCUAGGGUAGCGAGGAGGAUUAGAUACCCCCGUAGUCCCUGAGCGGGCUGGCAAGGCGCAU
RNAcentral lists this ribosomal RNA (450 nucleotides) under uncultured bacterium. Its description in RNAcentral is "bacterial SSU rRNA". It matches the Rfam family "Bacterial small subunit ribosomal RNA", at positions 355 to 825 of the family's 1533-position model. The record is from RNAcentral.